AACGCAUAUUGCACUCUUUGGUAUUCCGAAGAGUAUGCCUGUUUCAGUAUCAAGAAAGGAUCAAGCUCAAAUUUUGGAAUUUUUUAAUGCAAAAAAUCCCAAAAGUUUGGAAAUGGAUAAAUGGCAGAUUACGGAAAAUUAUUCCGUUUGUCAUCAGCCAACCUAAACUUUACAGUCGUGGUAGUCUCAAACGUCGUGGAAGCUUCAUACCAAAAGGCCUAAUAGUUGACUUUGCAGUCAUCUUUCGCCUGCUUGAAGUGACAUCCAACGAAAGCGAGACACCAUUGUCCGCAAGGAAAGCAAAAUAAACGAACUUUGGAGGAUUUCUUUCCUAAAAGGUUCACACCUUUAAUCUGAAAUCAGGUAGGAUUACCCGCUGAACUUAA
Molecule: unclassified non-coding RNA, 386 nt
Filed under: uncultured fungus
Lineage: Eukaryota; Fungi
Description: sequence contains ITS2
Source: RNAcentral